RNAcentral lists this long non-coding RNA (731 nucleotides) under Homo sapiens (human). Its description in RNAcentral is "long non-coding RNA NONHSAT200447.1". The record is from RNAcentral. Lineage: Eukaryota; Metazoa; Chordata; Mammalia; Primates; Hominidae.
CCCAGCGCCAAGCUCUGUGUCGCCGCCGUCGCCUAGGCGGUUGGGGGUCGGUGGGGCGGCGCGGGCGGGGGUCGCUGCGCGGGGCGGCGAGCCUCUGUUUUGUCUCCUUCUCUCCCUGUGGAGCGGCUCGGGCUGCUGGGGAGGCCCCGGCUCCCUCCGGACGCUCGGCCAACGGCGGCGGCUAGUCCGCGGCCCUGCUGAGAGGGAAAAGGACGCCGCGGUCUUCCCAGGCGUCGCGGAGAGCAGUUCCAAAGAACUACUGGUUCAGAUUUUAGCUCUUCCCAAGUUGUGAAAAUAGUGAAGGAUGCUUAGACUACUUAACAUACAAACUGCUUUCUGGUUAAUCAUCUUUAGAAGACUGGAUUUCUGGAUAUCUACUCCACUCCAUCUCUAUUGACUUUUAAAACAUGAUAAUGCAAACCUAUAACACUGGCAACCAUCAGUGAACCUUUAAUUUCAUUGAUUAAUAGCGUUUGAAGCUUCCUCAGGGAAUAACAAUGACAUCAGCAGUGGUUGACAGUGGAGGUACUAUUUUGGAGCUUUCCAGCAAUGGAGUAGAAAAUCAAGAGGAAAGUGAAAAGGUUUCUGAAUAUCCAGCAGUGAUUGUGGAGCCAGUUCCAAGUGCCAGAUUAGAGCAGGGCUAUGCAGCCCAGGUUCUGGUUUAUGAUGAUGAGACUUAUAUGAUGCAAGAUGUGGCAGAAGAACAAGAAGUUGAGACCGAGAAUGUGGAA